GUUCUUGAGCACUUAAAAUAUAUCAAAAGCAGUGAACAAUGAAGAGAAGAUUAGCAUGGCCCCUAUGCAAGGUGACACAAAAUUCAUGAAGCAUUCCAUAUUAAA
This is a small nuclear RNA of Urocitellus parryii (Arctic ground squirrel), 105 nucleotides long. The record is from Ensembl. NCBI's taxonomy places the organism in Eukaryota, Metazoa, Chordata, Mammalia, Rodentia, Sciuridae.